Molecule: ribosomal RNA, 220 nt
Filed under: uncultured bacterium
Lineage: Bacteria
Description: partial 16S ribosomal RNA
Rfam family: Bacterial small subunit ribosomal RNA
Source: RNAcentral
UACGUAGGGUGCGAGCGUUGUCCGGAAUUAUUGGGCGUAAAGAGCUCGUAGGCGGUUUGUUGCGUCGGCUGUGAAAUCCCGAGGCUCAACCUCGGGUCUGCAGUCGAUACGAGCAAACUAGAGUGUUGCAGGGGAGACUGGAAUUCCUGGUGUAGCGGUGAAAUGCGCAGAUAUCAGGAGGAACACCGGUGGCGAAGGCGGGUCUCUGGGCAACAACUGA